Molecule: unclassified non-coding RNA, 376 nt
Filed under: Hevea brasiliensis (rubber tree)
Lineage: Eukaryota; Viridiplantae; Streptophyta; Magnoliopsida; Malpighiales; Euphorbiaceae
Source: RNAcentral
CUUCAAUAUUGUAGACCUCCACUGUCAUUUAUCAUCUGCUUUUCUCCUUUUCCAUUCUUUCCAAUUCAACCUCGAUUCUCCAAAUUCACCAAUACAACACCAUGAUUAGCAUUCUUGCACAAGAGCGUCUGCUUGGUACUGCUUUGGGGAUUGCUUUUGUGGGUUUUGUUGUUUUUGAGCAAAGGAAACGCAUCUAUGAAUCCAUUUCUGCUGAUCGUAAUCAAUUGGAUGCCCAAUCUCAGUUGAGAGAGCCUAUAUUCGGAAAGCAAUUUCGCUCGCAGUUUGAACUUAUGUGGAACAAAGCUGUGGAUGAGACAUUUAGACCUGUGGUUGCUUCUCUUAAUUCACGUAGGCAGUAAAGAUUUUGCUGUAGUUU